CAGGUACAGCGGGAAGCCACCUGGCGACAGGGAGCGGAACCCGAAAGCCUGUCUCAGUUCGGAUUGGAGUCUGCAACCCGACUCCAUGAAGCUGGAUUCGCUAGUAAUCGCGCAUCAGCCACGGCGCGGUGAAUACGUUCCCGGGCCUUGUACACACCGCCCGUCAAGCCAUGGAAGCCGGGGGUGCCUGAAGUGCGCUGCCGCAAGGAGCGCCCUAGGGUAAAACCGGUGACUGGGGCUAAGUCGUAACAAGGUAAC
RNAcentral lists this ribosomal RNA (258 nucleotides) under uncultured bacterium. RNAcentral's name for it is "partial 16S ribosomal RNA". It matches the Rfam family "Bacterial small subunit ribosomal RNA", at positions 1234 to 1500 of the family's 1533-position model. The record is from RNAcentral.